Bicyclus anynana (squinting bush brown) is the source of this 286-nucleotide long non-coding RNA. RefSeq lists it as uncharacterized. The transcript is spliced from 2 exons. NCBI's taxonomy places the organism in Eukaryota, Metazoa, Arthropoda, Insecta, Lepidoptera, Nymphalidae. The record is from RefSeq and is a predicted model, not a curated record.
UUUUUAGUUUAGGCUAAUUUUUGAGUUGGAAGUCGGUUGAAUUUUUUUAUUAAAAUUUUUAUUUUUUAAUUUUUAGUGUUAGCACACCUACUGAGUGUAACCAAAACUGAUACUAAUAACCUUCGAGAAGUUCUCUUCAUUGUCCUUCGUCUUCAAUACCAGACCCUUAAUUCAGUCACAACCCAUCUAGGUGGAAAGUUCUCAUCAAUACAAAUUUAUCAAGUCCAAACACAAGGUAGCUACUGGGAACCGUUGAAGAGUUCUCUUAACUGUCCUUCGUCUUCAU